AGUGAACGCCGGCGGUAGGCCUAACACAUGCAAGUCGAACGGCAGCACAGUAAGAGCUUGCUCUUACGGGUGGCGAGUGGCGGACGGGUGAGGAAUACAUCGGAAUCUACUUUUUCGUGGGGGAUAACGUAGGGAAACUUACGCUAAUACCGCAUAAGACCUACGGGUGAAAGCAGGGGAUCUUCGGACCUUGCGCGAUUGAAUGAGCCGAUGUCGGAUUAGCUAGUUGGCGGGGUAAAGGCCCACCAAGGCGACGAUCCGUAGCUGGUCUGAGAGGAUGAUCAGCCACACUGGAACUGAGACACGGUCCAGACUCCUACGGGAGGCAGCAGUGGGGAAUAUUGGACAAUGGGCGCAAGCCUGAUCCAGCCAUACCGCGUGGGUGAAGAAGGCCUUCGGGUUGUAAAGCCCUUUUGUUGGGAAAGAAAAGCAGCAGGUUAAUACCCCGCUGUUCUGACGGUACCCAAAGAAUAAGCACCGGCUAACUUCGUG
Molecule: ribosomal RNA, 492 nt
Filed under: uncultured bacterium
Lineage: Bacteria
Description: partial 16S ribosomal RNA
Rfam family: Bacterial small subunit ribosomal RNA
Source: RNAcentral